Molecule: ribosomal RNA, 606 nt
Filed under: uncultured bacterium
Lineage: Bacteria
Description: bacterial SSU rRNA
Rfam family: Bacterial small subunit ribosomal RNA (bases 1-503)
Source: RNAcentral
CCGUACGGGAGGCAGCAGUGGGGAAUAUUGGACAAUGGGCGAAAGCCUGAUCCAGCCAUGCCGCGUGUGUGAAGAAGGUCUUCGGAUUGUAAAGCACUUUAAGUUGGGAGGAAGGGCAGUUACCUAAUACGUGAUUGUUUUGACGUUACCGACAGAAUAAGCACCGGCUAACUCUGUGCCAGCAGCCGCGGUAAUACAGAGGGUGCAAGCGUUAAUCGGAAUUACUGGGCGUAAAGCGCGCGUAGGUGGUUUGUUAAGUUGGAUGUGAAAUCCCCGGGCUCAACCUGGGAACUGCAUUCAAAACUGACUGACUAGAGUAUGGUAGAGGGUGGUGGAAUUUCCUGUGUAGCGGUGAAAUGCGUAGAUAUAGGAAGGAACACCAGUGGCGAAGGCGACCACCUGGACUAAUACUGACACUGAGGUGCGAAAGCGUGGGGAGCAAACAGGAUUAGAUACCCCUGGUAGUCCACGCCGUAAACGAUGUCAACUAGCCGUUGGAAGCCUUGNGNUUAGUGUCGCNNCACGACAUAUAGACGCGNGGAGACGCGCGAGUAAACGUACAAGAAGUAGAGNGNGAGAGNGCGACGACGACGACGAGGGAGGAGG